This 240-nucleotide unclassified non-coding RNA is filed under the name Hevea brasiliensis (rubber tree). Lineage: Eukaryota; Viridiplantae; Streptophyta; Magnoliopsida; Malpighiales; Euphorbiaceae. The record is from RNAcentral.
CAAUUACGCUUCGAUGCCAAGUUUUGCUUUCAGCCCUGCUGCCACAGCAUCAAUGAAUUCUUCAGUAUUGAGAUACUGGUCCCGAGUAACCUUAGGCCCAUGAAUAAUCAAUGCAAGAUCCUUGGUCAUCUUGCCAGACUCCACCGUUCCAAUACAAGCUGCUUCAAGCUUCUGGGUGAAAUCCAAGAGUCUAGCAUUGUCAUCCAACUUAGCCCUGUGUGCAAGACCUCGUGACCAUGC